RNAcentral lists this ribosomal RNA (448 nucleotides) under uncultured archaeon. Its description in RNAcentral is "bacterial SSU rRNA". It matches the Rfam family "Archaeal small subunit ribosomal RNA", at positions 474 to 922 of the family's 1478-position model. The record is from RNAcentral.
AACCAGCACCUCAAGUGGUCAGGAUGAUUAUUGGGCCUAAAGCAUCCGUAGCCUGCUUUGUAAGUUCUCGGUUAAAUCCAUGCGCUUAACGUAUGGGCUGCCGGCAAUACUGCAUAGCUAGGGAGUGGGAGAGGUAGACGGUACUCGGUAGGAAGGGGUAAAAUCCUUUGAUCUAUUGAUGACCACCUGUGGCGAAGGCGGUCUACCAGAACACAUCCGACGGUGAGGGAUGAAAGCUGGGGGAGCAAACCGGAUUAGAUACCCGGGUAGUCCCAGCUGUAAACUAUGCAAACUCAGUGAUGCAUUGGCUUGUGGCCAAUGCAGUGCUGCAGGGAAGCCGUUAAGUUUGCCGCCUGGGAAGUACGUACGCAAGUAUGAAACUUAAAGGAAUUGGCGGGGGAGCACCACAAGGGGUGAAGCCUGCGGUUCAAUUGGAUUCAACGCCGGA